GAAACGGUUUGAUAACUAUGUAGCUGAACUUCUGCCACCUGAUGUUGUCUCAGUCUGCUACUCCUCCGCCAUCUUGACUCUGGCUCCUGUAGUGGGAAGUUUCAGAAGAGGUUUCUAACCAACAACUUUUACCACUUUAAAGGAAUAAAACUUUGGAUAAGAUGGAGAGUGCUGGAUUCACAGGGCAGUUGACGAUACUGAGGUAAAGAGAGGGAAAGGGACUUGGCCUGCAGUCACAGAGCCGGGAAACAGCUGGCAAACCUCAUUUAAAGAUCAGGUCUGUGCAGGCCUGCUUCCAGCUUAAUCUGUUCUUCUCCAUAUAUUGCUGUCUGCAUCAUUAUUACUGAUUUGCUAAAUAGCAAAUCAAAUCCUGUGUUACAGGCUUCCCUAAACAUCGCUCUGUGCCUACCACGUGCUGUGUUUCAAUCAACAACUUAUAAAUAAAUAAGUAAAAAAAAAAAAAAAUCUUUAACAGUGAAGUUUGCGGGUUAGUGUAGUUACUCUUCACUAUGGAUGAACAUUAGACUCGGUGGAAGACUUUAAAAAAAUGUGGAUUCUUGGGGCACCUGGUGGCUCAGGUCAUGCUCAGCAGGGGUCCUGCUUCCCCCUCCCCCUGCCUCUAUGCCUACUUGUG
This is a long non-coding RNA of Mustela lutreola (European mink), 634 nucleotides long. RefSeq lists it as uncharacterized. The transcript is spliced from 3 exons. Lineage: Eukaryota; Metazoa; Chordata; Mammalia; Carnivora; Mustelidae. The record is from RefSeq and is a predicted model, not a curated record.